This 449-nucleotide ribosomal RNA is filed under the name uncultured bacterium. RNAcentral's name for it is "partial 16S ribosomal RNA". It matches the Rfam family "Bacterial small subunit ribosomal RNA", at positions 29 to 523 of the family's 1533-position model. The record is from RNAcentral.
AGCGGACGCUGGCGGCAGGCUUAACACAUGCAAGUCGAACGCCAUCUUCGGAUGGAGUGGCAGACGGGUGAGUAACGCGUGGGAACGUACCUUUUGGUUCGGAAUAUUCUCGGGAAACUGAGAGCAAUACCGAAUAAGCCCUUAGGGGGAAAGAUUUAUUGCCAAAAGAUCGGCCCGCGUUAGAUUAGGUAGUUGGUAGGGUAAUGGCCUACCAAGCCUACGAUCUAUAGCUGGUCUGAGAGGAUGAUCAGCCACAUUGGGACUGAGACACGGCCCAAACUCCUACGGGAGGCAGCAGUGGGGAAUAUUGGACAAUGGGCGCAAGCCUGAUCCAGCCAUGCCGCGUGAAUGAUGAAGGCCUUAGGGUUGUAAAAUUCUUUCAACGGGGACGAUAAUGACGGUACCCGUAGAGGAAGCCCCGGCUAACUUCGUGCCAGCCGCCGCAGUAA